Molecule: ribosomal RNA, 505 nt
Filed under: uncultured bacterium
Lineage: Bacteria
Description: partial 16S ribosomal RNA
Rfam family: Bacterial small subunit ribosomal RNA
Source: RNAcentral
GACGAACGCUGGCGGCGUGCCUAAUACAUGCAAGUAGAACGCACAGUUUAUACCGUAGCUUGCUACACCAUAGACUGUGAGUUGCGGACGGGUGAGUAACGCGUAGGUAACCUGCCUGGUAGCGGGGGAUAACUAUUGGAAACGAUAGCUAAUACCGCAUAAUAUUAAUUAUUGCAUGAUAAUUAAUUGAAAGGUGCAAUUGCACCACUACCAGAUGGACCUGCGUUGUAUUAGCUAGUAGGUGAGGUAACGGCUCACCUAGGCGACGAUACAUAGCCGACCUGAGAGGGUGAUCGGCCACACUGGGACUGAGACACGGCCCAGACUCCUACGGGAGGCAGCAGUAGGGAAUCUUCGGCAAUGGACGAAAGUCUGACCGAGCAACGCCGCGUGAGUGAAGAAGGUUUUCGGAUCGUAAAGCUCUGUUGUAAGAGAAGAACGGGUGUGAGAGUGGAAAGUUCACACUGUGAUGGUAUCUUACCAGAAAGGGACGGCUAACUACGUG